AGAGUUUGAUCCUGGCUCAGGAUGAACGCUGGCGGCGUGCUUAACACAUGCAAGUCGAACGAUGAUCUCCAGCUUGCUGGGGGGAUUAGUGGCGAACGGGUGAGUAACACGUGAGUAACCUGCCCUUGACUCUGGGAUAAGCCUGGGAAACUGGGUCUAAUACUGGAUACGACCUUCCAUCGCAUGGUGGUUGGUGGAAAGCUUUUGUGGUUUUGGAUGGACUCGCGGCCUAUCAGCUUGUUGGUGGGGUAAUGGCCUACCAAGGCGACGACGGGUAGCCGGCCUGAGAGGGUGGACGGCCACACUGGGACUGAGACACGGCCCAGACUCCUACGGGAGGCAGCAGUGGGGAAUAUUGCACAAUGGGCGCAAGCCUGAUGCAGCGACGCCGCGUGAGGGAUGAAGGCCUUCGGGUUGUAAACCUCUUUCAGUAGGGAAGAAGCGAAAGUGACGGUACCUGCAGAAGAAGCGCCGGCUAACUACGUGCCAGCAGCCGCGGUAAUACGUAGGGCGCAAGCGUUAUCCGGAAUUAUUGGGCGUAAAGAGCUCGUAGGCGGUUUGUCGCGUCUGCCGUGAAAGUCCGGGGCUUAACUCCGGAUCUGCGGUGGGUACGGGCAGACUUGAGUGAUGUAGGGGAGACUGGAAUUCCUGGUGUAGCGGUGAAAUGCGCAGAUAUCAGGAGGAACACCGAUGGCGAAGGCAGGUCUCUGGGCAUUAACUGACGCUGAGGAGCGAAAGCAUGGGGAGCGAACAGGAUUAGAUACCCUGGUAGUCCAUGCCGUAAACGUUGGGCACUAGGU
This 800-nucleotide ribosomal RNA is filed under the name uncultured bacterium. RNAcentral describes it as "bacterial SSU rRNA". It matches the Rfam family "Bacterial small subunit ribosomal RNA", at positions 8 to 821 of the family's 1533-position model. The record is from RNAcentral.